GACAAUGCAGUGAACAAUGGAUUGGGAAAGGAAUUUCCAGAAGCCUGCUUAGCAUUCAUGAAAGAAGGUUAAAUUGAGGUGCUCAUGUUGUGCAAGAGAUCAGAGAUGCAGGCUGGGGAGACAAUGCAAAUCUUUCUGAGGAUCUAUUUGAAACCAGGACUACACUCAAAGCACUGAUGAGCCAAAGGAUUUUAUCUGAGGCAUUUUCUUCCUUGCAGAGUCGUACAGAAUCUGUACCUGGGAUGUGUUUCUGAUGAGAAUUAUGAACUCUCCUGCUGAGAGUGUGAGCAUACACGAUGGUGCUAAGCAACUGAACACAUGCAGAAAUGGUCAAG
Molecule: long non-coding RNA, 335 nt
Organism: Passer domesticus (house sparrow)
Lineage: Eukaryota; Metazoa; Chordata; Aves; Passeriformes; Passeridae
Exons: 3
Source: RefSeq, a predicted model, not a curated record